Molecule: ribosomal RNA, 506 nt
Filed under: uncultured bacterium
Lineage: Bacteria
Description: partial 16S ribosomal RNA
Rfam family: Bacterial small subunit ribosomal RNA
Source: RNAcentral
AUUGAACGCUGGCGGCAGGCCUAACACAUGCAAGUCGAACGGCAGCACAGAAGAGCUUGCUCUUUGGGUGGCGAGUGGCGGACGGGUGAGUAAUGUCUGGGAAACUGCCCGAUGGAGAGGGAUAACUACUGGAAACGGUAGCUAAUACCGCAUAACGUCGCAAGACCAAAGUGGGGGACCUUCGGGCCUCACACAAUCGGAUGUGCCCAGAUGGGAUUAGCUAGUAGGUGGGGUAAUGGCUCACCUAGGCGACGAGCCCUAGCUGGUCUGAGAGGAUGACCAGCCACACUGGAACUGAGACACGGUCCAGACUCCUACGGGAGGCAGCAGUGGGGAAUAUUGCACAAUGGGCGCAAGCCUGAUGCAGCCAUGCCGCGUGUAUGAAGAAGGCCUUCGGGUUGUAAAGUACUUUCAGCGGGGAGGAAGGCGGUGAGGUUAAUAACCUUGCCGAUUGACGUUACCCGCAGAAGAAGCACCGGCUAACUACGUGCCAGCAGCCGCCGUAA